UCAAGCAACUAAGCGCAUACGGUGGAUGCCUUGGCAGUCAGAGGCGAUGAAAGACGUGGAAGCCUGCGAUAAGGUUCGGGGAGCUGGCAAACAAGCUGUGAUCCGGGCAUUUCUGAAUGGGGAAACCCACCGACUUUCGGGUCGGUAUCUUGCACUGAAUACAUAGGUGUAAGAGGCGAACCGGGGGAACUGAAACAUCUAAGUACCCCGAGGAAAAGAAAUCAACCGAGAUUCCCCUAGUAGCGGCGAGCGAACGGGGACCAGCCCUUAAGCGUGUGACAGAUUAGACGAACAGACUGGGAAGUCUGGCCAUAGCGGGUGAUAGCCCCGUAGUCGAAAAUCUGAUCACGUGAAAUCGAGUAGGUCGGGGCACGAGAAACCUUGACUGAAGACGGGGGGACCAUCCUCCAAGGCUAAAUACUCCUGACUGACCGAUAGUGAACCAGUACCGUGAGGGAAAGGCGAAAAGAACCCCUGUGAGGGGAGUGAAAUAGAUCCUGAAACCGUAUGCGUACAAGCAGUCGGAGCGGACUUGUUCCGUGACGGCGUACCUUUUGUAUAAUGGGUCAGCGACUUAUGUUCAGUGGCGAGGUUAACCGUUUAGGGGAGCCGUAGGGAAACCGAGUCUGAAUAGGGCGAUUUAGUCGCUGGGCAUAGACCCGAAACCGGGCGAUCUAUCCAUGAGCAGGUUGAAGGUGCCGUAACAGGCACUGGAGGACCGAACCCACUGUCGUUGAAAAGCCAGGGGAUGACUUGUGGAUCGGAGUGAAAGGCUAAUCAAGCCCGGAGAUAGCUGGUUCUCCCCGAAAGCUAUUUAGGUAGCGCCUCGGACGAAUACCACAGGGGGUAGAGCACUGUUUCGGCUAGGGGGUCAUCCCGACUUACCAACCCGAUGCAAACUCCGAAUACCUGUGAGUACUAUCCGGGAGACACACGGCGGGUGCUAACGUCCGUCGUGAAGAGGGAAACAACCCAGACCGCCAGCUAAGGUCCCCAAGUACCAGUUAAGUGGGAAACGAUGUGGGAAGGCUCAGACAGCUAGGAGGUUGGCUUAGAAGCAGCCAUCCUUUAAAGAAAGCGUAAUAGCUCACUAGUCGAGUCGGCCUGCGCGGAAGAUGUAACGGGGCUCAAACUGGUCACCGAAGCUGCGGCUGCAUACUUUGUAUGCGGGGUAGGGGAGCGUUCUGUAAGCCUGCGAAGGUGUGUUGAGAAGCAUGCUGGAGGUAUCAGAAGUGCGAAUGCUGACAUGAGUAACGACAAUGCGGGUGAAAAACCCGCACGCCGGAAGACCAAGGGUUCCUGCGCAACGCUAAUCGGCGCAGGGUGAGUCGGCCCCUAAGGCGAGACCGAAAGGUGUAGUCGAUGGGAAACGGGUUAAUAUUCCCGUACCUUGGAUAGCUGCGAUGGAGAGACGGAGAAGGCUAGGUGAGCCGGGCGACGGUUGUCCCGGUUUAAGCGAGUAGGGAGUGGACUUAGGCAAAUCCGGGUCCACAAUCUCGAGACGCGACGACGACUGCUCUUAGAGCGGGAAGUCAUUGAUGCCAUGCUUCCAGGAAAAUCUUCUAAGCUUCAGGCUAUUCGAGACCGUACCCCAAACCGACACAGGUGGUCAGGUAGAGAAUACCAAGGCGCUUGAGAGAACUCGGGUAAAGGAACUAGGCAAAAUGGUGCCGUAACUUCGGGAGAAGGCACGCUGGUGGUAAGUGAAAUCCCUGCGGGUGGAGCUGAAGCCAGUCGAAGAUACCAGGCCCCUGCGACUGUUUAUUAAAAACACAGCACUGUGCAAACACGAAAGUGGACGUAUACGGUGUGACGCCUGCCCGGUGCCGGAAGGUUAAUUGAUGGGGUUAGCGCUUGCGCGAAGCUCUUGAUCGAAGCCCCGGUAAACGGCGGCCGUAACAAUAACGGUCCUAAGGUAGCGAAA
This 1924-nucleotide ribosomal RNA is filed under the name Rhizochromulina marina. RNAcentral's name for it is "partial Bacterial large subunit ribosomal RNA". It matches the Rfam family "Bacterial large subunit ribosomal RNA", at positions 3 to 1964 of the family's 2925-position model. Lineage: Eukaryota; Dictyochophyceae; Rhizochromulinales. The record is from RNAcentral.